AUGUUUCCGAAUACACCUCCCUCUGUGCCCAGUAUUCCCACUCCUCGUCCUGCUGCUGCAGAUCCGACGUCGUACUCUCCUACGGUUUCUUCUCCUCCCUCAUCACAUGACUCUCCACCUUCAUCACCGAUACCUUCCUCUUAUCCACCUUCUUCACCGAUACAUUCCCCGUCUCCACCUUCAGUGAUUCCACAUCUUCCCUCCUUUCCUUUCCAUUAUACUCAUCGUCCACGUGUUGUGGAUAAGUCUACUGAUGUGACCUCUACUUUUGGUGUGUCGUCCUCCUCUCAGUCGAGUUAUGGUCUCCGUUCUCGGCCUUGUCCGCCCCCUGACCGAUAUUCUCCUUCUCACUAUGGUCUUUCGAUCGCUCUUGAGCCGACUUCUAAUCGAGAUGUUGUUGUUCACCCUGAAUGGCAGUUUGCAAUGGCAGAGGAGAUUGCCGCCCUUGAGCGCAACGGCACAUGGGAUCUGGUUUCUCUUCCUCCCCGUGUUCGUCUCAUCACUUGUAAGUGGGUCUAUAAGAUCAAGACUCGCUCUGAUGGUUCUCUUGAGCGUUAUAAAGCUCGUCUUGUGGCUCGUGGCUUUCAGCAGGAGCAUGGACAUGGUUAUGAUGAAACUUUUGCUCAUGUGGCCCAUAUGACCACUGUCCGCACACUUCUCGCUAUGGCCUCUGUUCGCCACUGGUCCGUCUCUCAGCUUGAUGUUAAGAAUGCCUUUCUUAAUGGUGAGUUGCGUGAGGAGGUUUAUAUGCAGCCACCACCUCGGUAUUCAGUUUCUGAUGGUAUGGUUUGUCGUCUUCGUCGCUCUCUCUAUGGCCUUAAGCAAGGCCCCCGAGCGUUGUUUGUCCACCUUUUUGCUCGUGGCCGCACUCUUCUUCUUUUAUAUGUUGAUGACAUGAUCAUCACUGGCGACGAUUCUGAGUACAUUGCCUUUGUCAAGGCCCGUCUUAGUGAGCAGUUCCUUAUGUUUGGUCUUGGUCCUCUUCGUUACUUUCUCGGGAUUGAAGUUUCCUCCAACUCUGAUGGCUUUUUUUAUUUCCCAAGAAAAGUAUAUCCAGGAUCUUCUUGCUCGUGCGGCUCUUAG
RNAcentral lists this ribosomal RNA (1083 nucleotides) under Triticum aestivum (bread wheat). Its description in RNAcentral is "partial small subunit ribosomal RNA". Lineage: Eukaryota; Viridiplantae; Streptophyta; Magnoliopsida; Poales; Poaceae. The record is from RNAcentral.